Molecule: ribosomal RNA, 466 nt
Filed under: uncultured bacterium
Lineage: Bacteria
Description: partial 16S ribosomal RNA
Rfam family: Bacterial small subunit ribosomal RNA
Source: RNAcentral
GACGAACGCUGGCGGCGUGCGUAACACAUGCAAGUCGAACGGAAAGGCCAGUUCUUGCACUGGGACGCGAGGGGCGAACGGGGGAGCAACACGAGGGUGAGCGGCCACGCACUCUGGGAUAAGCUUGUGAAACUGGGUCUAAUACCGGAUAUGAACUGUCUUUAGUGUGGUGGUUGGAAAGUUUUUUCGUUGCAAGAUGAGAUCGCGGCCUAUCAGCUUGUUGGUGGGGUAUUGGCCUACCAAGGCGUCGACGGGUAGCCGGCCUGAGAGGGUGUACGGCCACAUUGGGACUGGGAUACGGCCCAGACUCCUACGGGAGGCAGCAGUGGGGAAUAUUGCACAAUGGGCGGAAGCCUGAUGCAGCGACGCCGCGUGGGGGAUGACGGCCUUCGGGUUGUAAACUCCUUUCGACAGGGACGAAGCGUCAGUGACGGUACCUGUAGAAGAAGCGCCGGCUAACUACGUG